UUGUGCCUACGGGGCGCAGCAGUGGGGAAUAUUGCACAAUGGGGGAAACCCUGAUGCAGCAACGCCGCGUGAGUGAAGAAGGUUUUCGGAUUGUAAAGCUCUGUUGGUAGUGAAGAAAGAUAGAGGUAGUAACUGGCCUUUAUUUGACGGUAAUUACUUAGAAAGUCACGGCUAACUACGUGCCAGCAGCCGCGGUAAUACGUAGGUGGCAAGCGUUGUCCGGAUUUAUUGGGCGUAAAGCGAGUGCAGGCGGGUCAAUAAGUCUG
RNAcentral lists this ribosomal RNA (266 nucleotides) under uncultured bacterium. RNAcentral's name for it is "partial 16S ribosomal RNA". It matches the Rfam family "Bacterial small subunit ribosomal RNA", at positions 332 to 591 of the family's 1533-position model. The record is from RNAcentral.